GCCCCCGUAGCUCAACGGAUAGAGCACCGGCCUUCUAAGCCGUAGGCUCUGCUAACAAAGCUACCGGGGCACAA
Molecule: transfer RNA, 74 nt
Filed under: Chloroflexota bacterium
Lineage: Bacteria; Bacillati; Chloroflexota
Description: Chloroflexi bacterium tRNA-Arg
Rfam family: tRNA
About the family: Transfer RNA (tRNA) molecules are approximately 80 nucleotides in length. Their secondary structure includes four short double-helical elements and three loops (D, anti-codon, and T loops). Further hydrogen bonds mediate the characteristic L-shaped molecular structure. tRNAs have two regions of fundamental functional importance: the anti-codon, which is responsible for specific mRNA codon recognition, and the 3' end, to which the tRNAs corresponding amino acid is attached (by aminoacyl-tRNA synthetases). tRNAs cope with the degeneracy of the genetic code in two manners: having more than one tRNA (with a specific anti-codon) for a particular amino acid; and 'wobble' base-pairing, i.e. permitting non-standard base-pairing at the 3rd anti-codon position.
Source: RNAcentral